Molecule: long non-coding RNA, 602 nt
Filed under: Panax ginseng (ginseng)
Lineage: Eukaryota; Viridiplantae; Streptophyta; Magnoliopsida; Apiales; Araliaceae
Description: long non-coding RNA (PGIN_LNC009373)
Source: RNAcentral
UUGAGGAUACGACCGGAAGGUAGGAGUCAAGUAGCCUGCAGAAGUAGAUAACCUAGAGCUCAGUUUAGGGGCCAAGUGAAGGGAGUCAGUUAAGCCUAAUAAAGGCCAACUGACUGCUAGAAGCCAGUUAUAUCAGGGGGAAGAAUGGAGACCAAUGUGUAGAUAGGUAGUAGCAAUGAUGAGGAAAAUAGGGGCCAAGCUUAGUGGUCUAGUAUGGACUGGCUAAAGAAGAAAAUUCAGCCAUAUAAGGCCAAACAAAGUGCCUAGAAUUGGCUAACUUCUUCAAUUCCAGAAUUUCCAAAUUAGUAGCAUAAAGAGAGAAAGGCAGAGCUUAGGCAAGGGAAGCAAAAAGGGAUUUUCACUACAGUAGAUAUCUAAGUACUAAAGUAAUUCAAAUUACUUGUUUUAUUAUUUUUGUUUCUGAGAUUAAUCAGUAAUGAGAAUUGGUUGCUAUGAAAUUUGGGGCUGUAAUAUACUAAAUUUUUUAGUCAAGCCCAGCUGAGUUUGUUCAGAGAUAAGCAUGUAUAAAAUAACUAUAUAUAUAUAUAUAUAUAUUAUGUAAGUAACGAAUUGCUUGAUGGAAGAUUGGUAAUGUUAUGUAG